This 81-nucleotide transfer RNA is filed under the name Felis catus (domestic cat). It matches the Rfam family "tRNA". Rfam says of the family: Transfer RNA (tRNA) molecules are approximately 80 nucleotides in length. Their secondary structure includes four short double-helical elements and three loops (D, anti-codon, and T loops). Further hydrogen bonds mediate the characteristic L-shaped molecular structure. tRNAs have two regions of fundamental functional importance: the anti-codon, which is responsible for specific mRNA codon recognition, and the 3' end, to which the tRNAs corresponding amino acid is attached (by aminoacyl-tRNA synthetases). tRNAs cope with the degeneracy of the genetic code in two manners: having more than one tRNA (with a specific anti-codon) for a particular amino acid; and 'wobble' base-pairing, i.e. permitting non-standard base-pairing at the 3rd anti-codon position. Lineage: Eukaryota; Metazoa; Chordata; Mammalia; Carnivora; Felidae. The record is from Rfam by way of RNAcentral.
GCCUGGGUGGCUCAGGUGAGCAUCUGACUUCAGCUCAGGUUAUGAUCUCACGGUUCGUGAGUUCGAGCCCCACCUCGGGCU